CUUGGGAAUAAUUAAUCACCGCUAGUGUUUCACUCUUCUUAGACACCACUUGCCCCAAAAUCCAUCAUCCAAAAAUUGCUUACCACUAUAACUGAGCAACGGGACACAUUUUGGUAGAUUAAAAAAUGCAGUUGUUUUUUAUAUAAAGUUUUCUUUUCUUAAUUAAUUUCCUUUUAAAAUGCUCUUUUAAGACACGAAGUAUAAUUUGUCCAUUAUUUGAAUCAAGCUAUACUCGUGAUUCACAAAAUGACAAUGCUUACCACUCUAAUGUUUGUUUUGAGACAACCGAUAGAGGAGGAGCCACUACAACACAAGCCAUCACAAAUAUACAAGCCUACUCUUCUGAAGCCAAAAUUCAUUAAAGCAUCUUUUAUUGACAAUACAAUACUAUCACCACCACCAAGACCACCAAGACCACCAAGGAUUCAUCCUGCUCCGGUCCCGGUGUUUCACUCUUCCAAGAAGACAUGAUUUAAAACACCACAAGAAAAAUCACUUGCCCCAACCUAUUAUUAGUUCGCAGGAAAGAGUUGGUGUUUUCGCAGGUUUUAGCCGUUCAUAUGUUCGAUUUAUUAUGGAUUGAUGGCAAUUUGUUAUUGUUACUUUUUUAAGUUGUAUUCUGGGUGGAAUGGUUGUGUUAGUUUGCUCUUUAUUAAUAAAUUUUUGCUUGUAAAAAGAAGAGGUUUGUUAUUUGAACAAUCAUUUGAGUGACAACCACUAAUUUACAAAGGAAAGUAGAUAGUGACACGGAAAUCAAAGUAAUAGAGAGAGAAAGUAAAAAAAUUAUGUGAGUAUGAAAAAUAAAAUUGUCACAUAAGUUGUCAUAAAAUGGUUGUCAAAAUAUCAUUUCUCUUUUGAAAAGAAAAUAUUGUAAAAGUACAACUACCCCAUGAUUCGUCUGUCAAUCGUGCUUUGAUUUCUUGCACCA
Medicago truncatula (barrel medic) is the source of this 928-nucleotide long non-coding RNA. RefSeq lists it as uncharacterized. The transcript is spliced from 2 exons. NCBI's taxonomy places the organism in Eukaryota, Viridiplantae, Streptophyta, Magnoliopsida, Fabales, Fabaceae. The record is from RefSeq and is a predicted model, not a curated record.